RNAcentral lists this ribosomal RNA (466 nucleotides) under uncultured bacterium. RNAcentral's name for it is "partial 16S ribosomal RNA". It matches the Rfam family "Bacterial small subunit ribosomal RNA", at positions 28 to 507 of the family's 1533-position model. The record is from RNAcentral.
GACGAACGCUGGAGGCGUGCUUAACACAUGCAAGUCGAACGAUGAAGUGGAGCUUGCUCCACGGAUUAGUGGCGAACGGGUGAGUAACACGUGAAUAACCUGCCCUCAAUUUCGGAAUAACCCAGGGAAACCUGGGCUAAUACCGGAUACGUAAACCUGUGGCAUCACAUGGUUUUGGAAAGUUUUUCGAUUGAGGAUGGAUUCGCGGCCUAUCAGCUUGUUGGUGAGGUAAUGGCUCACCAAGGCGACGACGGGUAGCCGGCCUGAGAGGGUGGACGGCCACACUGGGACUGAGACACGGCCCAGACUCCUACGGGAGGCAGCAGUGGGGAAUAUUGCGCAAUGGACGAAAGUCUGACGCAGCGACGCCUCGUGAGGGACGAAGGUCUUCGGAUUGUAAACCUCUUUCAGCAGGGACGAAGCGAAAGUGACGGUACCUGCAGAAGAAGCACCGGCUAACUAUGUG